Molecule: ribosomal RNA, 253 nt
Filed under: uncultured bacterium
Lineage: Bacteria
Description: partial 16S ribosomal RNA
Rfam family: Bacterial small subunit ribosomal RNA
Source: RNAcentral
UACGUAGGUGACCAGCGUUGUCCGGAUUUACUGGGCGUAAAGAGCGCGCAGGCGGUCGUUCAAGUCGAGUGUGAAAGCCCCCGGCUCAACUGGGGAGGGUCAUUCGAUACUGAUCGACUCGAAGGCAGGAGAGGGAAGCGGAAUUCCCGGUGUAGUGGUGAAAUGCGUAGAUAUCGGGAGGAACACCAGUAGCGAAGGCGGCACUCUGGGCCGGUACUGACGCUGAGGAGCGAAAGCGUGGGGAGCGAACAGG